CUAUCUGAUCCGGGCUUGGUUAGGU
RNAcentral lists this non-coding RNA (25 nucleotides) under Cricetulus griseus (Chinese hamster). Lineage: Eukaryota; Metazoa; Chordata; Mammalia; Rodentia; Cricetidae. The record is from RNAcentral.